RNAcentral lists this ribosomal RNA (464 nucleotides) under uncultured bacterium. RNAcentral describes it as "partial 16S ribosomal RNA". It matches the Rfam family "Bacterial small subunit ribosomal RNA", at positions 339 to 795 of the family's 1533-position model. The record is from RNAcentral.
CUACGGGCCGCUGCAGUCGAGAAUCAUUCGCAAUGGGCGAAAGCCUGACGAUGCGACGCCGUGUGAACGAAGAAGGCCUUCGGGUUGUAAAGUUCUUUCGCCUGGGAACAAGAGAAUUGGGUGAAUAAUCUAGUGAUUUGAGGGUACCAGGUAAAGAAGCACCGGCUAACUCCGUGCCAGCAGCUGCGGUAAUACGGAGGGUGCAAGCAUUAAUCGGAUUUACUGGGCGUAAAGGGCGCGUAGGCGGCUUUGCAAGUCAGAUGUGAAAUUCCAGAGCUCAAAUUUGGAGCUGCAUUUGAAACGGUGAGGCUAGAGGAUAAGCGGAGGAAAUGGAAUUCCACGUGUAGCGGUGAAAUGCGUAGAUAUGUGGAAGAACACCGGUGGCGAAGGCGGUUUUCUAGUUUAUACCUGACGCUGAGGCGCGAAAGCAAGGGGAGCAAACAGGAUUAGAUACCCCGGUAGUC